This 97-nucleotide ribosomal RNA is filed under the name Algoriphagus oliviformis. RNAcentral's name for it is "Algoriphagus sp. H41 partial 23S ribosomal RNA". It matches the Rfam family "Bacterial large subunit ribosomal RNA", at positions 2827 to 2925 of the family's 2925-position model. Lineage: Bacteria; Pseudomonadati; Bacteroidota; Cytophagia; Cytophagales; Cyclobacteriaceae. The record is from RNAcentral.
AUAUAGGGCCGUCAGAGACGAUGACGUCGAUAGGCCGCAGGUGUAAAGCCAGUGAUGGCAUAGCCGAGCGGUACUAAUUGCCCGAAAGCUUGCCUAC